UACAGUACAAGAAGUAUAUUACUCUACAUAUAUGAAGUCCUAUGCAAAUACAAACUAGAUAAUAGACUUAUCAACCAAUUGAAUUUCUCUGAUAUUUAUCUCCAGAAUGGGCAUGAAAGCACAUAUUAUAACUGGACCUCACUAGUGGAAAAGCCAGAUAGCAGAACAUGUACGAUUUAUGACUAGAUUGUCCCACGUAUCUAUUC
Molecule: long non-coding RNA, 206 nt
Filed under: Carica papaya (papaya)
Lineage: Eukaryota; Viridiplantae; Streptophyta; Magnoliopsida; Brassicales; Caricaceae
Description: long non-coding RNA (CPAP_LNC016193)
Source: RNAcentral